Molecule: ribosomal RNA, 370 nt
Filed under: uncultured organism
Description: bacterial SSU rRNA
Rfam family: Bacterial small subunit ribosomal RNA
Source: RNAcentral
CGUAGGGUGCGAGCGUUAAUCGGAAUUACUGGGCGUAAAGCGUGCGCAGGCGGUUUUGUAAGACAGAUGUGAAAUCCCCGGGCUCAACCUGGGACCUGCAUUUGUGACUGCAAGACUAGAGUACGGUAGAGGGGGAUGGAAUUCCGCGUGUAGCAGUGAAAUGCGUAGAUAUGCGGAGGAACACCGAUGGCGAAGGCAAUCCCCUGGACCUGUACUGACGCUCAUGCACGAAGGCGUGGGGAGCAAACAGGAUUAGAUACCCUGGUAGUCCACGCCCUAAACGAUGUCAACUGGUUGUUGGGUCUUUACUGACUCAGUAACGAAGCUAACGCGUGAAGUUGACCGCCUGGGGAGUACGGCCGCAAGGUUG